This 465-nucleotide ribosomal RNA is filed under the name Vreelandella stevensii. Its description in RNAcentral is "partial 16S ribosomal RNA". It matches the Rfam family "Bacterial small subunit ribosomal RNA", at positions 338 to 795 of the family's 1533-position model. Lineage: Bacteria; Pseudomonadati; Pseudomonadota; Gammaproteobacteria; Oceanospirillales; Halomonadaceae. The record is from RNAcentral.
CCUACGGGGGGCUGCAGUGGGGAAUAUUGGACAAUGGGGGCAACCCUGAUCCAGCCAUGCCGCGUGUGUGAAGAAGGCCCUCGGGUUGUAAAGCACUUUCAGUGAGGAAGAACGCCUGGUGGUUAAUACCCAUCAGGAAAGACAUCACUCACAGAAGAAGCACCGGCUAACUCCGUGCCAGCAGCCGCGGUAAUACGGAGGGUGCGAGCGUUAAUCGGAUUUACUGGGCGUAAAGCGAGCGUAGGUGGCUUGAUAAGCCGGUUGUGAAAGCCCCGGGCUCAACCUGGGAACGGCAUCCGGAACUGUCAAGCUAGAGUGCAGGAGAGGAAGGUAGAAUUCCCGGUGUAGCGGUGAAAUGCGUAGAGAUCGGGAGGAAUACCAGUGGCGAAGGCGGCCUUCUGGACUGACACUGACGCUGAGGUGCGAAAGCGUGGGUAGCAAACAGGAUUAGAUACCCUUGUAGUC